CUAGGUUUGAUCCUCAGCACCACAUAAAAAUAAACAAAGAUAUUUCCCAAUCACUCUGAUAUCUCAUUAAAAAAAAGAUCCAAGCACAACUCAGUAUUCUGAUAUACAUUUAUGCCAAUCACAUAAAUGUAUGAAACACAAAAUUAUGUACAAUGCAUAUAUCUGAUGGUGACAACUGGUUGUGUUGCUGGCUUUUGUGUUUACUAUAUCAUGCUUUUUACUGAUAUUUUAGAGUGAUUUCUACUUUUAAAAAAAUGUCUACUAUAAAGCAGUGUGCUGUGUUUCGCUGGCAGCAGCCUCAUACAUCUCGUGUUUACCACAUCUCUUGAUUGCAUCAUUUUCUCUUCUGCUUGAUUUAAUCUCAUGUUGUUUUGUUCAUCCUAGGAGUUGUUUUGUUCACCCUAGAAGUUGUUUUGUUCAUCCUAGGAGUUGUUUUGGUCCUAGGAGCAACAGGCUAUACCAUAAAUCUAGGUGUGUGGUAGGCUAUACCAUCCAGGUUUGUGUGAGUCCACUCUUGGAUGUUCACACAGGAAUGAAAUCACCUGAUGACUCAUUAUAUCUCAGAACGUCCUCAUCAUUAAGUGACAUAUGACUAUACCUUUGGGUACUUCUUUCAGUCUGCUUUGGAAUAGUCUUCGUGUUCACACCACCCCCAAGUUAGAAACUGUGUCCUGGAAUAUAAGAGCUAUCCAUUCCUUUUCCAUGAGCAUACAUGCUAUUGUGUUGGCCCCAGGGUUUUGGAACUAGAGUAAGUUCUCAGCAAAAGUUUGGCACUUGAAUACAGCAACUUGAUGGACAGAACUGAGUUUAAGUGCCCCUCUGCCUAUUAAUAACUAUGUGACCUUGGACAAGUGAAUUAUCCUCUCUGAACCUCUUAGGUCAAAACUUACAAAUAGAAGUUUAUAAUAACGCCUCCCCCAUGGCAUGUUGACAAAUGAAUGAGAUAGCACACAGAAUGUGUAAUGUAACACUUGCCAGUCAUAUAGUAGUUCCUGGCAAACUUGUGUCUCCAACUUCAUACUACAUACUUUGGGAGUUUUUCCAUCUUUUUCCCUAGACCCCCUCGAGUUGGUAUCUGGGGAUAAGGACACCAGAAUAUUAACUUUGAAAGACAAAAAUGGGCCUAAGGAUAUAGUUCUGUGAUAGAGCACUUGCCUACCAUGCAUGAGAUCCUAGGUUUGAUCCCUAGCACUGCAAAAGAAAAAGACAAAGAUGACUUUCAUGUAACCUAAUAGUAAAGAUAGAAAAGAUUCUAAAGAAAGUCGGUGAGAACCAUACUGGCAACCCCAGGCCCUGGAGGAGGUGGGGGCUACUCCUUUCUCAACUAAAGAGGUCAGAUCCUACCUAGGAAAUCAGGCCCAUUAGUCUCUGCAAGCUGAAGAUUAGCACCUACUAGAGACCCUCACCAAAGCCCUGGCCACACUGUACUGUAAGCCUGAGGCCCUGUGAGCUUGCUUGGAAUAUGGAGAAGAGGCAUUUUCACUGGAACUUGGCCAAUGGGUCUCUAGCAGUGGGGGUGAAGGGUACAGAGGCCAGGAUUCUAGAGGUCAGGGAGCUCCUCCUCUCAUCAAGAUACACUCUGUGCCAAACAGCCUUCUGCCCAUACCUUGGUUUCCAGGAGCAACCAUUCUGGGAAGAGGCAGGGGAAUGGAGUGUGGGGUGAAGAAGGCCGGCAUAUAGCUGGUAUGCAGAAUGAUGUUCUUUUUGGAAGCUGUGAUCUCUGGGCACUUAUUAAAUAGGCAUUUGGAUAUUUUCAGUCUCCUGAGAAACUGGGUAGACCACCAACUUUCCUCAGAGCUGGGCUCCCUAAAAUAAGUUGAUCUACUUACUUCUCCACACCAUCCCCAUCAGCCUGUCCUAAAUCUAGGUCUCUGUGAUGGGGCAUUAUUGUGGGAUUGAAACUGAG
This 1906-nucleotide long non-coding RNA is filed under the name Marmota monax (woodchuck). The record is from RNAcentral. Lineage: Eukaryota; Metazoa; Chordata; Mammalia; Rodentia; Sciuridae.